Molecule: small nuclear RNA, 162 nt
Filed under: Soboliphyme baturini
Lineage: Eukaryota; Metazoa; Nematoda; Enoplea; Dioctophymatida; Soboliphymatidae
Description: U1 spliceosomal RNA
Rfam family: U1 spliceosomal RNA
About the family: U1 is a small nuclear RNA (snRNA) component of the spliceosome (involved in pre-mRNA splicing). Its 5' end forms complementary base pairs with the 5' splice junction, thus defining the 5' donor site of an intron.
Source: Rfam by way of RNAcentral
AUACUUACCUGGCAGCGAGGACGUGUUGAUCAAGUAGGACACUUCUCCGGGGUGAGGCGCAGCAUUGCACUUCGCGAGCGCUGACCUCUGAAGCUUACCCAAAUUGGGUAAAGCUUGCUGUAAAAUUUUUGAGUGUGGGGCUUGCGUUCGCGCUACCCCGGU